Molecule: long non-coding RNA, 441 nt
Organism: Mesocricetus auratus (golden hamster)
Lineage: Eukaryota; Metazoa; Chordata; Mammalia; Rodentia; Cricetidae
Exons: 3
Source: RefSeq, a predicted model, not a curated record
AAGGUCCAUUUUUGUGUUGUGCCAUCUUCUGUAUUGCACAGGACUUAGCUGUUGUCUCAAAGCCUGGCUCCUGCGGAUGAAGCAAGGAAUGACCACAGAACAGCUGUCCCCCUUUGCCUACACACCGUCCAGCCUCAACUGGCUUCUUGCCAUUGCCACAGGGUGUUGGGGGAGGGGAUGGCUCCCUAUGCCUCCUGGGCUGAAUACCUGACAGAUGCAACUCAAGGGAGGAGGGACUUGUUUUGGGUCACAGUCGCAGGGAGGAAGGCGUGGUAGCCAGUGGCUCCAAGGCUGCCGUGGCAUCAGCAGCUGCUUGUUCCAUGACGCCAACCAGAAGCAGAAAGCUGGAGCCAGAACUGGACUGAAACCCAUAAGGGCCUCCCCACCCAUGCAAGCCGGCCCUGCUCAGACACCCACUUCUUCCAGGCCCCGUCUCCAGUC